Small nucleolar RNA from Gorilla gorilla gorilla (western lowland gorilla), 70 nucleotides. It matches the Rfam family "Small nucleolar RNA U3". From Rfam's summary of the family: Small nucleolar RNAs (snoRNAs) are involved in the processing and modification of rRNA in the nucleolus. There are two main classes of snoRNAs: the box C/D class, and the box H/ACA class. U3 snoRNA is a member of the box C/D class. The record is from Rfam. Lineage: Eukaryota; Metazoa; Chordata; Mammalia; Primates; Hominidae.
AAGACUUUACUUUCAGGGGUCAUUUCUAUAGUUUGUUCAGAAGUUUCUCUGAAUGUGUAGAGCAAAAAGU